RNAcentral lists this ribosomal RNA (768 nucleotides) under uncultured Pseudomonadota bacterium. RNAcentral describes it as "bacterial SSU rRNA". It matches the Rfam family "Bacterial small subunit ribosomal RNA", at positions 569 to 1337 of the family's 1533-position model. The record is from RNAcentral. Lineage: Bacteria; Pseudomonadati; Pseudomonadota.
GCGUAGGUGGCUUGAUAAGUCAGAUGUGAAAGCCCCGGGCUUAACCUGGGAACGGCAUCUGAUACUGUUAGGCUAGAGUAGGUGAGAGGAAGGUAGAAUUCCAGGUGUAGCGGUGAAAUGCGUAGAGAUCUGGAGGAAUACCGAUGGCGAAGGCAGCCUUCUGGCAUCAUACUGACACUGAGGUUCGAAAGCGUGGGUAGCAAACAGGAUUAGAUACCCUGGUAGUCCACGCCGUAAACGAUGUCUACUAGUCGUUGGGUCCCUUGAGGACUUAGUGACGCAGCUAACGCAAUAAGUAGACCGCCUGGGGAGUACGGCCGCAAGGUUAAAACUCAAAUGAAUUGACGGGGGCCCGCACAAGCGGUGGAGCAUGUGGUUUAAUUCGAUGCAACGCGAAGAACCUUACCUGGUCUUGACAUAUCUAGAAUCCUGCAGAGAUGCGGGAGUGCCUUCGGGAAUUAGAAUACAGGUGCUGCAUGGCUGUCGUCAGCUCGUGUCGUGAGAUGUUGGGUUAAGUCCCGCAACGAGCGCAACCCUUGUCCUUAGUUACCAGCGGUUUGGCCGGGAACUCUAAGGAUACUGCCAGUGACAAACUGGAGGAAGGCGGGGACGACGUCAAGUCAUCAUGGCCCUUACGACCAGGGCUACACACGUGCUACAAUGGUAGGUACAUAGGGCAGCUACACAGCGAUGUGAUGCGAAUCUCAAAAAGCCUAUCGUAGUCCAGAUUGGAGUCUGCAACUCGACUCCAUGAAGUAGGAAUCGCUA